GAGAGACACCACAUAGGAGUUUGCACAUUUGUAGAAAAAAAAAAACUAGUCAUAAAACUGCAUUUUUUUAUCAUCUAGCAUUUAAAGAUUCAUUGUUAUUCUUCACUAAUUAACAUAUUAAAUUAAGCCAAGAUACGAGACUGGUAAAAUUCUACCAAUCUACAUAAAAACAGAAAAAAAUAUUUAAAAGUAAAAUGAGACGGUUAGUCAUGUUACAUUCCAAAACCCACAGCCCAUUAUAUUAAAUGCGUUCUUUCUACAGGAAUGAUGUUCUUUAUAACAGAUGGAUUGCAAGUAUUUUACUGCUAGACACUCCAUUACAUUGGAUAGUGUGACUGGAACCUGUGGAUGGUGAAAUCUUGAGGUUUGUCCAAGUUUCAAUGUAAGGUGUCCAAGGUCCUCUCCCAGAACCAUGUUUUGGAAAAAAAUUCACACAGAUUAAGUUCUUAUGACUUUUUUUUUUUCAAUCUUUUCUUGGCUUUCUGUUUCUGGGUGAUCUAUUCACAGUUUCCUCCUCCUCUGAUGCAUGUUUCCUGUCCUCCUCUUCCUCUUCUUCCUCCUCUUCCUCUUGACUAGCACUUCCUAUGUCAGCAUCAUUUUUCUGCUUCUCUUCUAGCUUCUCCUCAUUUGCUUCCUCCUCUUCUUCCUUGUCUCCUUUGUCUUUUUCUUCCUCUCUCUCAUCACUCACCACAUCAGGCUGAGGAGCAUCAGUCUUUUUGUACUCUGCAGCACUUGGCUGCUUCUUCCCAGAGCAGCAGAAAAGGACAACAAGGAACACUGGGAAAGCCACAAUGAGGAUGUACACUACCCAAAGCCAAGGACGCUCUUCAGCAGCUGCCAUCAUCUGGCCCACAACACCAGGCUGUAAGAUACAGUGAACCAUUAAAACCAAGCGAGUCACAGCAGUUAAGUCUGAAUCAUAGAUUUUUUUUCUGUGGUAUCUAUAGGCUUUUGGUAUCCCCAGACAUGGCAUUUCAUACUUUAAAAAGUUAAAGCUAAUCCAAGUACUUUUUCCCCUUAGUUUCUAAGUUAACAAUUAGCAUACAGUUAACAGAACUGUCAGAGCAAAAACCUUAGAGACUAGUGAACUCUCAUUGCCAUUAAUGGCAACUAUUACCAUA
This 1121-nucleotide long non-coding RNA is filed under the name Gallus gallus (chicken). The record is from RNAcentral. Lineage: Eukaryota; Metazoa; Chordata; Aves; Galliformes; Phasianidae.